This 1326-nucleotide long non-coding RNA is filed under the name Anas platyrhynchos platyrhynchos (common mallard). RNAcentral describes it as "lncRNA (ENSAPLG00000017033.1)". Lineage: Eukaryota; Metazoa; Chordata; Aves; Anseriformes; Anatidae. The record is from RNAcentral.
CACCGGGGCGCACCGGGGCGCACCAAGACGCACCAAGGCGCACCAAGACGCACCAAGGCGCACCGGGGCGCACCAAGGCGCACCGUGCCGAACCGGGCCGUGCCGUGCCGCACCGUGCCGAGCCGUGCGGGAUUGGCUGGCCCGCGGCCACCUGGCUCCUCCCCAGCCCCCUGCGGCUAUAACGGGCCGGGCGGCGCCGGUCCCGGUCCCGCAGCGCCGCGCCCCGAGCCGCAGGCAUGGCCCAGCCCGGGGGGGGGGCGGGGGGGGGCGGGGGGGGGGCUGCGGACGGCGUGGGGGGGCUGGGGGUAGUGCUAUGGGGUCAUCACUGGGGACAUCACUGCGGGGUCUGGAAGCAUCGCCAUGGGGUCUUGGAGCAUCACUGGGGGGACUGGGAACAUCGCUAUGGGACUGGGGGCAGUGCUAUGGGGUCGGGGGCAUAACUGGGAGCAUCGCUACAGGGUCUGGGGACAUUGCUAUGGGGUCUGGAGGCAGUGCUAUGGGGACUGGGAGCAUUGCUGGGGGGACUGGGAGCAUGGCUAUGGGACUGGGGGCAGCGCUAUGGGGUCUGGGGACAUCACUACGAGUUCUGGGGACAUUGCUAUGGGGUCUGGAGGCAGUGCUAUGGAGACUGGGAGCAUUGCUGGGGGGACUGGGAGGAUUGCUAUGGGACUGGGAGAAUUGCUGCAGCACUGGGGGGACUGGGAAAAUUGCUAUGGGGUCUGAGGGCAGCACUACGGGGUCUGGGGACAUUGCUUGGGGGGGCUCAGAGCAGCGCUAUGGGGUCUGAGGGCAGUGCUGGGGGCAUUGCUAUGGGAUCUGGGGGCAGCUCUAUGGGGUCUGGGGACAUCGCUGUGGGAUCUGGGGGCAGCACUGUGGGGUCUGGGUGCACUGCUAUGGGUCUGGGGGCAUCGGGGCUGGCCUUGACGGGUCUCUGCACAGCACCAGCCCUGCUGCCCCCCCCCCCCCAACCCAGUGCCACCCCCCGCCCCAUUGCCAGGCUCCCCCCGGCUGGUUGUGGGGUGCCCCCUGCGUUAUGGGGUGGCACCAGCCCUGGGAUGGGGACUGCAGCCCCUGCUGCGCCCUGGGGGCUGCGCAGCCCCACCCAGGGACCCCCAGUCAGUGGGGUAGGGUGGGGGGGUACUGGGGGUCUGGGGGGGCUGUGGGGGCUGUGGGGGGGCUGUGGGGGGGGCAUCCCCAACCCGUCCCCGCUCCGCAGGGCCCCGGCGCUGGCUGCGGCCGCCGUCCUCCUGCUCCUGACCACCGCCACCGCCGAUGAGCCCGCGAGCCCCCUGGACGUGGCCCUGUCUGCGGAAGGACAGACGUCAG